RNAcentral lists this long non-coding RNA (453 nucleotides) under Homo sapiens (human). RNAcentral describes it as "HSALNT0398703". The record is from RNAcentral. Lineage: Eukaryota; Metazoa; Chordata; Mammalia; Primates; Hominidae.
CCGGGGAAUCUUUAGAAAGCACAGUGGAAACAGAUGUCUGUUUUUACAAGCCCAUCACUGCACAGAAUGCAAUAUGGGAGGGUUUCACUAAUGGUUAACCAUAACCACACUCCAGCGUGAGCCCAGCCACUAGGCAAUGUGCUGAUAAGGAUUCUAAGUGGUUUAUGUGGACUCCUCAUGACCUAUGACACACAUACGUUUACAGUGGAGUGGAACGAGGCAGGAGGGCUUCUCUUUGUCAUAGUCUACCAGCUCUGCAGAGGUGUCAGCUACAUCCGGAUUGGCUCAGGGAGCGGCCGUCAGAAGACUUACACGUGUUUAAUAACUGAGGCUUGAACAUGAAGUACAGGAACGUGCAUCUUAUUUUUGGAAGAUGGAGCCCCGUUGGGGGAAUUUGAGCAGUGGAGGGUCACAGCCAGGGUCUCGUCCAGGCUGAAGUGCUGUGGUGCGAUC